This is a long non-coding RNA of Dreissena polymorpha, 291 nucleotides long. RefSeq lists it as uncharacterized. The record is from RefSeq and is a predicted model, not a curated record. NCBI's taxonomy places the organism in Eukaryota, Metazoa, Mollusca, Bivalvia, Myida, Dreissenidae. The transcript has 3 exons.
CAAUUAAGCUGUUUUACCUAGGCGCUGUCAGUUUGCUUGUUGCGAGCAUCUUAAUGACCGCCUCUGCCUACAAAUGGAAAACGCCGGUUGGCCCUGAUAUUUUUUCGAUCCUGAUUUACCUGUUCGUGUUUAUUAUCGUCAUUCGAGUUUUGUUCCCUGAUAAUAACAAGAAAGGCGUCAAUUCAUAUCGGUAAACACUCAAGUUUUGGAGUGAAAGGCCAUUCACCAAUUUAGCUGAUGAUAUAAACUGUUUAUGAGGAAUGUAUCAAUAAAGCUAAAGCAGUAUACCGA